CCACUUUGUGAUUCAUGACUGGGGUGAAGUCGUAACAAGGUAACCGUAGGGGAACCUGCGGUUGGAUCACCUCCUUACCUUAAGAUAC
Molecule: ribosomal RNA, 88 nt
Filed under: Pantoea deleyi
Lineage: Bacteria; Pseudomonadati; Pseudomonadota; Gammaproteobacteria; Enterobacterales; Erwiniaceae
Description: partial 16S ribosomal RNA
Rfam family: Bacterial small subunit ribosomal RNA (bases 1-77)
Source: RNAcentral